Molecule: ribosomal RNA, 427 nt
Filed under: uncultured bacterium
Lineage: Bacteria
Description: partial 16S ribosomal RNA
Rfam family: Bacterial small subunit ribosomal RNA
Source: RNAcentral
UGGGGAAUAUUGGACAAUGGGCGAAAGCCUGAUCCAGCCAUGCCGCGUGUGUGAAGAAGGUCUUCGGAUUGUAAAGCACUUUAAGUUGGGAGGAAGGGCAUUAACCUAAUACGUUAGUGUUUUGACGUUACCGACAGAAUAAGCACCGGCUAACUCUGUGCCAGCAGCCGCGGUAAUACAGGGGGUGCAAGCGUUAAGCGGAAUUACUGGGCGUAAAGCGCGCGUAGGUGGUUUGUUAAGUUGGAUGUGAAAUCCCCGGGCUCAACCUGGGAACUGCAUUCAAAACUGACUGACUAGAGUAUGGUAGAGGGUGGUGGAAUUUCCUGUGUAGCGGUGAAAUGCGUAGAUAUAGGAAGGAACACCAGUGGCGAAGGCGACCACCUGGACUAAUACUGACACUGAGGUGCGAAAGCGUGGGGAGCAAACA